UAGUGUUCUCACUUGGUGUACUA
RNAcentral lists this non-coding RNA (23 nucleotides) under Arabidopsis thaliana (thale cress). Lineage: Eukaryota; Viridiplantae; Streptophyta; Magnoliopsida; Brassicales; Brassicaceae. The record is from RNAcentral.